UACGGAGGGUGCAAGCGUUAUCCGGAUUCACUGGGUUUAAAGGGUGCGUAGGCGGGCUUGUAAGUCAGUGGUGAAAGCCCGGGGCUUAACUCCGGAAUUGCCAUUGAUACUGCAAGCCUUGAGUACGGUUGAGGUGGGCGGAAUACAUCAUGUAGUGGUGAAAUACUUAGAUAUGAUGUAGAACACCGAUUGCGAAGGCAGCUCACUAAAGCGUAACUGACGCUGAGGCACGAAAGCGUGGGGAUCAAACAGG
This 253-nucleotide ribosomal RNA is filed under the name uncultured bacterium. RNAcentral describes it as "partial 16S ribosomal RNA". It matches the Rfam family "Bacterial small subunit ribosomal RNA", at positions 524 to 776 of the family's 1533-position model. The record is from RNAcentral.